RNAcentral lists this ribosomal RNA (720 nucleotides) under uncultured Mycoplasma sp. RNAcentral describes it as "bacterial SSU rRNA". It matches the Rfam family "Bacterial small subunit ribosomal RNA", at positions 667 to 1398 of the family's 1533-position model. The record is from RNAcentral. Lineage: Bacteria; Bacillati; Mycoplasmatota; Mollicutes; Mycoplasmatales; Mycoplasmataceae.
UUCYUAGUGGAGCGGUGGAAUGCGUAGAUAUUAGGAAGAACACCAAUGGCGAAGGCAGCUCACUGAAUGUACACUGACGCUCAGGGACGAAAGCGUGGGGAGCAAACAGGAUUAGAUACCCUGGUAGUCCACGCCGUAAACGAUGAUCAUUAGCCGCUAGAAUAUUUAGUGGCGCAGCUAACGCAUUAAAUGAUCCGCCUGAGUAGUAUGCUCGCAAGAGUGAAACCUAAAGGAAUUGACGGGGACCCGCACAAGCGGUGGAGCAUGUGGUUUAAUUUGAAGAUACGCGUAGAACCUUACCCACUCUUGACAUCUUCCGCAAUACUAUGGAGACAUAGUGGAGGUUAACGGAAUGACAGAUGGUGCAUGGUUGUCGUCAGCUCGUGCCGUGAGGUGUUAGGUUAAGUCCUGCAACGAGCGCAACCCCUGUCUUUAGUUACUAACGGAUAAUGCCGAGGACUCUAGAGAGACUGACUGGGUAACCAGUAGGAAGGUGGGGACGACGUCAAAUCAUCAUGCCUCUUACGAGUGGGGCAACACACGUGCUACAAUGGACGGUACAAAGAGAAGCAAUAUGGUGACAUGGAGCAAACCUCAAAAAACCGUUCUCAGUUCGGAUUGAAGUCUGAAACUCGACUUCAUGAAGUUGGAAUCGCUAGUAAUCGUAGAUCAGCUACGCUACGGUGAAUACGUUCUCGGGUCUUGUACACACCGCCCGUC